GAUGAACGCUGGCGGCGUGCCUAAUACAUGCAAGUCGAGCGAACAGACGAGGAGCUUGCUCCUCUGACGUUAGCGGCGGACGGGUGAGUAACACGUGGAUAACCUACCUAUAAGACUGGGUUAACUUCGGGAAACCGGAGCUAAUACCGGAUAAUAUACUGAAUCGCAUGAUUCAAUAGUGAAAGACGGUUUUGAUGACACUUAUAGAUGGAUCCGCGCCGCCUUAGCUAGUUGGUAAGGUAACGGCUUACGCCAGCAACGAUGGGUACCCCACAUGAGAGGGAGAUCGGCCACACGGGAAGUGAGAAAGGGCCGAGACUCCUACGGGGGGCAGCGGUAGGGACUCUUCCGCAAUGGAGGAGAGGCGGACGGAGCAACGCCGCGUGAGUGAUGAUGGAGUGCGGAUCGGAAAACGCUGUUAUUAGGGAAGAACAAAUGCGUAAGUAACUGUGCAGGUCUUGACGGUACCUAAGCAGAAAGCCACGGCUAACUACGUG
RNAcentral lists this ribosomal RNA (497 nucleotides) under uncultured bacterium. RNAcentral describes it as "partial 16S ribosomal RNA". It matches the Rfam family "Bacterial small subunit ribosomal RNA", at positions 28 to 507 of the family's 1533-position model. The record is from RNAcentral.